GAUGAACGCUGGCGGCGUGCCUAAUACAUGCAAGUCGAGCGAACAGACGAGGAGCUUGCUCCUCUGACGUUAGCGGCGGACGGGUGAGUAACACGUGGAUAACCUACCUAUAAGACUGGGAUAACUUCGGGAAACCGGAGCUAAUACCGGAUAAUAUAUUGAACCGCAUGGUUCAAUAGUGAAAGACGGUUUUGCUGUCACUUAUAGAUGGAUCCGCGCCGCAUUAGCUAGUUGGUAAGGUAACGGCUUACCAAGGCAACGAUGCGUAGCCGAACUGAGAGGGUGAUCGGCCACACUGGAACUGAGACACGGUCCAGACUCCUACGAGAGGCAGCAGUAGCGAAUCUUCCGCAAUGGGCGAGAGCCUGACGGAGCAACGCCGCGUGAGUGAUGAAGGUCUUCGGAUCGUAAAACUCUGUUAUUAGGGAAGAACAAAUGUGGAAGUAACUAUGCACGUCUUGACGGUACCUAAUCAGAAAGCAACGGCUAACUACGUG
This 497-nucleotide ribosomal RNA is filed under the name uncultured bacterium. RNAcentral describes it as "partial 16S ribosomal RNA". It matches the Rfam family "Bacterial small subunit ribosomal RNA", at positions 28 to 507 of the family's 1533-position model. The record is from RNAcentral.